This 483-nucleotide ribosomal RNA is filed under the name uncultured bacterium. RNAcentral describes it as "partial 16S ribosomal RNA". It matches the Rfam family "Bacterial small subunit ribosomal RNA", at positions 28 to 507 of the family's 1533-position model. The record is from RNAcentral.
GACGAACGCUGGCGGCGUGCUUAACACAUGCAAGUCGAACGCUGAAGCUCAGCUUUUGUUGGGUGGAUGAGUGGCGAACGGGUGAGUAACACGUGAGUAACCUGCCCCCUUCUUUGGGAUAACGCCCGGAAACGGGUGCUAAUACUGGAUAUUCACUGGUCUUCGCAUGGGGGUUGGUGGAAAGGGUUUUUCUGGUGGGGGAUGGGCUCGCGGCCUAUCAGCUUGUUGGUGGGGUGAUGGCCUACCAAGGCUUUGACGGGUAGCCGGCCUGAGAGGGUGACCGGUCACAUUGGGACUGAGAUACGGCCCAGUCUCCUACGGGAGGCAGCAGUGGGGAAUAAUGCACAAUGGGCGCAAGCCUGAUGCAGCGACGCCGCGUGAGGGAUGGAGGCCUUCGGGUUGUGAACCUCUUUCGCUCAUGGUCAAGCCGCAACAAUGGUUGUGGUGAGGGUAGUGGGUAAAGAAGCGCCGGCUAACUACGUG